CUAUCUUUAAUAACAAAAAAGUUAUGCAAAAUUUUCGAUCUAAAAAAGUACAUGUUAAUUGUAAAAAACCGAAAUUUCGAUUUUUCUCAAAAACUAUAAUUUUUUUAAUUCUGAUAAUUAUGUGUAAGGUGCCCCUUCACUAGGAGUACUUGACUGUUUUUAAAUGAAAGCUCUAUCUUUAAUAACAAAAAAGUUAUGCAAAAUUUUCGAUCUAAAAAAGUACAUGUUAAUUGUAAAAAACCGAAAUUUCGAUUUUUCUCAAAAACUAUAAUUUUUUCAAUUUUGAUAAUUAUGUGCAAGGUGCCUCUUUGCGAGGAGUACUUGGCAGUUUUUAAAUGAAAGCUUUAUCUUUAAUAACAAAAAAGUUAUGCAAAAUUUUUGAUCUAAAAAAGUACAUGUUAAUUGUAAAAAAUCGAAAUUUCGAUUUUUCUCAAAAACUAUAAUUUUUUCAAUUUUGAUAAUUAUGUGCAAUGUGCCCCUUCACUAGGAGUACUUGACUGUUUUUAAAUGAAAGCUCUAUCUUUAAUAACAAAAAAGUUAUGCAAAAUUUUUGAUCUAAAAAAGUACAUGUUAAUUGUAAAAAACCGAAAUUUCGAUUUUUCUCAAAAACUAUAAUUUUUUUAAUUAUAAUAAUUAUGUGCAAGGUGCCCCUUCACUAGGAGUGCUUGGCAGUUUUUAAAUGAAAGCUUUAUCUUUAAUAACAAAAAAGUUAUGCAAAAUUUUUGA
This is a long non-coding RNA of Anthonomus grandis grandis, 726 nucleotides long. RefSeq lists it as uncharacterized. Lineage: Eukaryota; Metazoa; Arthropoda; Insecta; Coleoptera; Curculionidae. The record is from RefSeq and is a predicted model, not a curated record. The transcript is spliced from 3 exons.